GUGGGGGUAUCAUUGAGCCAAAUUUUAUUGGGCUCGAGUAAGGCUUGUUGGGCUAAUCUAUGGGUUGUACUAUUAUCUUUUCUACCCACAUGCUUAUAAGAUCCGGAUAAUUUGCUCAUUAUCUGAUUCGAGCUCCAAUUCAUGGAAUCCCUUCUUAUCUGCAAGCUCCAUGGCCAAAUAGAUUGCAAAAGCUUCAACCGCUGCAGAAUUGUGAGUUCCAGGGAGGCACCAAAUGGCCGUUGCUAAGACAUCUCCAAAGUUGUUUCUGCAGAUUGCGCUCAAACCCCAUGUAUUUUCCUUUGAUAGAUUCGCAUUUAUUUUUACUUUGAUUGUGUUGUUGCUUGGUGGUUCCUAAUAAACAUUUCUUGAUAGAGUUUGAGUCGUAGUUCCGGUUUGAGUCAUGCAUGUUGAUGUUUUGUUGAUGCUGUCACAAGUUAUAUAGUCCUGAAUGUUUGUAUUGCUUUGUUUUAUUGUAUCUUCUUCACUUGAGAAGUUGUUGUUGAAGAUGAGUUUGUUCCUUGAGAACCAGAUGUUAUAAAUAACUGAUGCUGCAUAAAUGGUAGAAUCAGCGUCUUGAGUCUCAA
This is a long non-coding RNA of Medicago truncatula (barrel medic), 584 nucleotides long. RefSeq lists it as uncharacterized. The record is from RefSeq and is a predicted model, not a curated record. The transcript has 2 exons. NCBI's taxonomy places the organism in Eukaryota, Viridiplantae, Streptophyta, Magnoliopsida, Fabales, Fabaceae.